GAUGAACGCUGGCGGCGUGCCUAAUACAUGCAGGUCGAGCGAACAGACGAGGAGCUUGCUCCUCUGACGUUAGCGGCGGACGGGUGAGUAACACGUGGAUAACCUACCUAUAAGACUGGGAUAACUUCGGGAAACCGGAGCUAAUACCGGAUAAUAUAUUGAACCGCAUGGUUCAAUAGUGAAAGACGGUUUUGCUGUCACUUAUAGAUGGAUCCGCGCCGCAUUAGCUAGUUGGUAAGGUAACGGCUUACCAAGGCAACGAUGCGUAGCCGACCUGAGAGGGUGAUCGGCCACACUGGAACUGAGACACGGUCCAGACUCCUACGGGAGGCAGCAGUAGGGAAUCUUCCGCAAUGGGCGAAAGCCUGACGGAGCAACGCCGCGUGAGUGAUGAAGGUCUUCGGAUCGUAAAACUCUGUUAUUAGGGAAGAACAAAUGUGUAAGUAACUAUGCAUGUCUUGACGGUACCUAAUCAGAAAGCCACGGCUAACUACGUG
Molecule: ribosomal RNA, 497 nt
Filed under: uncultured bacterium
Lineage: Bacteria
Description: partial 16S ribosomal RNA
Rfam family: Bacterial small subunit ribosomal RNA
Source: RNAcentral